GACGAACGCUGGCGGCGUGCUUAACACAUGCAAGUCGAGCGGUAAGGCCCUUUCGGGGGUACACGAGCGGCGAACAGGUGAGUAACACGUGGGUGACCUGCCCUUAGCUCUGGGAUAAGCCUGGGAAACUGGGCCUAAUACCGGAUAUGACUCCAUGACGCAUGUUGUGGGGUGGAAAGCCUUGUGCGGCUAGGGAUGGGCCCGCGGCCUAUCAGCUUGUUGGUGGGGUGAUGGCCUACCAAGGCGACGACGGGUAGCCGGCCUGAGAGGGCGACCGGCCACACUGGGACUGAGACACGGCCCAGACUCCUACGGGAGGCAGCAGUGGGGAAUCUUGCGCAAUGGGCGAAAGCCUGACGCAGCGACGCCGCGUGGGGA
This 378-nucleotide ribosomal RNA is filed under the name uncultured bacterium. RNAcentral's name for it is "bacterial SSU rRNA". It matches the Rfam family "Bacterial small subunit ribosomal RNA", at positions 28 to 407 of the family's 1533-position model. The record is from RNAcentral.